RNAcentral lists this unclassified non-coding RNA (597 nucleotides) under Hevea brasiliensis (rubber tree). Lineage: Eukaryota; Viridiplantae; Streptophyta; Magnoliopsida; Malpighiales; Euphorbiaceae. The record is from RNAcentral.
GUUUAUGUUCUCCCAUUUCUCUUUACAUCUCUUCGCGUUUCUAUCGUAUCCAAGCUUCUUCAUACCACAUGAGAUGUCUUCCCAAAGAGGCCCUUUUGAUGAGCCGUUGUCUUGGUAUUGCAAGUCGACGUUUGUUCUUAGCUUGAUUAAGGCUUCCACUUCGGCUUUAGGCCAUCGAGAAGAUGAAUUCGUUUGAAACGAGUUUGAAUUCUCACCAGCACUAUCAAUCUCUUGUUUGUCAAUGUUUUCCUUGUCGUUGUCUUGUUGCAUAACAACAUUCUCCUGAUUUCCAAUAGUUUUCAUUGAUUCACUCUCUCGUUCCUCGGUAUGCCUAUGGGGUAAAUCUGUUGGUAACUGUAGUUGAAUGGUUUGAUCUGAGACUUUCUGCAAGAAAGCAAUCACUGCUGCGUCUUUCGCGGCAGAAAUUGCUCUUUCGUGAGCUAAUGCUUCUUGUUCUUUCUUUAAUCUCGCGAUUUCCUGCAUCUUCCAAGCCUCGUCCCUCGCUAUUCGAUCCUUCUCACAUUUUUCCAUUGCUUCUAGAAACUUGUUUUGCAAGUCCUCUUGCUUAUCCAACACUUCCUUCAUCAACCUCUCAAA